CUUGUGAAAGCUGAGCUUUGAAAGAUAUGAAGAGACCAUGGAAUAAGGCACUGGAGUACACUUUCUUCUGGAUUGCCUGUUGUUGCCCAGGUAACUAAUAGUCAUGAUGGCUAAUGAAGAACCAAAUUACAAGCCCCUGGUGACAGAAGUGGGACCAAAAGAAACAUGCCAAGGUCUCAGAGGCCACUGAGAAACCAGAUGUCUGUAACCCACAGAGCACACUGAGUUCACGGCUUUCCUACUGACCCUGAAAUUUGAGGGUGUGUCUCUCUCUGCAUUUUGAGCUGUACGACUUUAGUGUGCAUACCUACAUUUUGUUAAUGAAGUCACCC
Bubalus bubalis (water buffalo) is the source of this 332-nucleotide long non-coding RNA. RefSeq lists it as uncharacterized. Lineage: Eukaryota; Metazoa; Chordata; Mammalia; Artiodactyla; Bovidae. The transcript is spliced from 2 exons. The record is from RefSeq and is a predicted model, not a curated record.